This 513-nucleotide ribosomal RNA is filed under the name uncultured bacterium. Its description in RNAcentral is "partial 16S ribosomal RNA". It matches the Rfam family "Bacterial small subunit ribosomal RNA", at positions 28 to 523 of the family's 1533-position model. The record is from RNAcentral.
GACGAACGCUGGCGGCGUGCCUAAUACAUGCAAGUAGAACGCUGAAGCUUGGUGCUUGCACCGAGCGGAUGAGUUGCGAACGGGUGAGUAACGCGUAGGUAACCUGCCUGGUAGCGGGGGAUAACUAUUGGAAACGAUAGCUAAUACCGCAUAAAAUGGAUUAGCGCAUGAUAAUCGAUUGAAAGGUGCAAAUGCAUCACUACCAGAUGGACCUGCGUUGUAUUAGCUAGUUGGUGGGGUAACGGCUCACCAAGGCGACGAUACAUAGCCGACCUGAGAGGGUGAUCGGCCACACUGGGACUGAGACACGGCCCAGACUCCUACGGGAGGCAGCAGUAGGGAAUCUUCGGCAAUGGACGGAAGUCUGACCGAGCAACGCCGCGUGAGUGAAGAAGGUUUUCGGAUCGUAAAGCUCUGUUGUAAGAGAAGAACGAGUGUGAGAGUGGAAAGUUCACACUGUGACGGUAUCUUACCAGAAAGGGACGGCUAACUACGUGCCAGCCGCCGCCGUAA